GCCGACUUAGCUCAGUUGGUAGAGCGGCUGUUUCGUAAACAGUAGGUCGUUGGUUCAAUUCCAACAGUCGGCUCCA
RNAcentral lists this transfer RNA (76 nucleotides) under Candidatus Daviesbacteria bacterium. Its description in RNAcentral is "tRNA-Thr". It matches the Rfam family "tRNA". From Rfam's summary of the family: Transfer RNA (tRNA) molecules are approximately 80 nucleotides in length. Lineage: Bacteria; Candidatus Daviesiibacteriota. The record is from RNAcentral.